UGCAAAGGUACAGUCAACCUUUCAGCCUGACUUGGACUUUUUUUCAUGAGAACCUUAUCAAACAUUAAACAACAUUUUAUAAGCAGUGAAUAGGAAGUGACCAUUCAUUUGCAAAACCUAAAUAUUGAUUGAUUCACAAAAUGUCACAAAGGAUCCAAUUGACAAUAUGUAUACAAAGGUCCAUUUAUCCCAUAGAUAUAUAUAGAGAACCCAGUGAUAAGGGGGGCAAUAGUGUUUUGCCCCUUAAGG
This is a non-coding RNA of Pelobates cultripes (western spadefoot toad), 249 nucleotides long. NCBI's taxonomy places the organism in Eukaryota, Metazoa, Chordata, Amphibia, Anura, Pelobatidae. The record is from the annotation of a GenBank genome assembly.